GAUGAACGCUAGCGGCAGGCCUAAUACAUGCAAGUCGGACGGGAUUCAGGAGCUUGCUUCUGAUGAGAGUGGCGCACGGGUGCGUAACACGUAUGUAACCUACCUUUAUCAGGGGGAUAGCCUCUCGAAAGAGAGAUUAAGCCCGCAUAAAAUCACAGCACAGCAUUGUGUAAUGAUCAAAUAUUUAUAGGAUAAAGAUGGGCAUGCGGAACAUUAGCUAGAUGGCGGGGUAACGGCCCACCAUGGCGACGAUGUUUAGGGGAUCUGAGAGGAUGGCCCCCCACACUGGUACUGAGACACGGACCAGACUCCUACGGGAGGCAGCAGUAAGGAAUAUUGGUCAAUGGGCGGAAGCCUGAACCAGCCAUGCCGCGUGCAGGAAGACGGCCCUACGGGUUGUAAACUGCUUUUAUACGGGAAUAAACCCAGAUACGUGUAUCUGGCUGAAUGUACUGUAAGAAUAAGGGUCGGCUAACUUCGUG
RNAcentral lists this ribosomal RNA (482 nucleotides) under uncultured bacterium. RNAcentral's name for it is "partial 16S ribosomal RNA". It matches the Rfam family "Bacterial small subunit ribosomal RNA", at positions 28 to 507 of the family's 1533-position model. The record is from RNAcentral.